RNAcentral lists this ribosomal RNA (480 nucleotides) under Blastocystis sp. subtype 10. Its description in RNAcentral is "bacterial SSU rRNA". It matches the Rfam family "Eukaryotic small subunit ribosomal RNA", at positions 460 to 953 of the family's 1831-position model. Lineage: Eukaryota; Bigyra; Opalinata; Blastocystidae. The record is from RNAcentral.
GGAGGUAGUGACAAUAAAUCACAAUGCGGAACUUCUGUUUUGCAAUUGGAUUGAGAACAACGCACAACACUUAUCGAUAAACAAUUGGAGGGCAAAUCUGGUGCCAGCAGCCGCGGUAAUUCCAGCUCCAAUAGCGUAUAUUAACGUUGUUGCAGUUAAAAAGCUCGUAGUUGAAGUGAAGUGUGAACCUUCUGGAUUUUCGUUCGAAUUUCUUGCUGGUUCGCACUCUUUCCAAAUAGUUUGCAUGGGUAUUCACUUAUCUGUGUAUUGCAUUUGGUCAUUUACUGUGAGAAAAUUAGAGUGUUCAAAGCAUACGUUUGUUUGAAUACAUUAGCAUGGAAUAAUUCGAAAAGGCUUUCAUGUUCGAUUUGAUUGGUUUGUUCGUGAAGGCAAGAUUAAAAGGGACAGUUGGGGGUAUUCAUAUUCAAUAGUCAGAGGUGAAAUUCUCGGAUUUAUGGAAGAUGAACAAGUGCGAAAGCA